UACAUGGGGUGCAAACGUUGCUCGGAAUUAUUGGGCGUAAAGCGCACGUAGGCGGUUUGUUAAGUCGGAUGUGAAAUCCCUCGGCUCAACUGAGGAAGUGCCCCCGAAACUGGCAGGCUUGAGUACUAAAGAGGGUCGCGGAAUUCCCGGUGUAGAGGUGAAAUUCGUAGAUAUCGGGAGGAACACCGGUGGCGAAGGCGGCGACCUGGGUAGAUACUGACGCUGAGGUGCGAAAGCGUGGGGAGCAAACAGG
This 253-nucleotide ribosomal RNA is filed under the name uncultured bacterium. RNAcentral's name for it is "partial 16S ribosomal RNA". It matches the Rfam family "Bacterial small subunit ribosomal RNA", at positions 524 to 776 of the family's 1533-position model. The record is from RNAcentral.